Molecule: ribosomal RNA, 439 nt
Filed under: uncultured bacterium
Lineage: Bacteria
Description: bacterial SSU rRNA
Rfam family: Bacterial small subunit ribosomal RNA
Source: RNAcentral
UACGGGAGGCAGCAGUGGGGAAUAUUGCACAAUGGGCGCAAGCCUGAUGCAGCCAUGCCGCGUGUAUGAAGAAGGCCUUCGGGUUGUAAAGUACUUUCAGUCGUGAGGAAGGUGUUAAGGUUAAUAACCUUAGCAAUUGACGUUAGCGACAGAAGAAGCACCGGCUAACUCCGUGCCAGCAGCCGCGGUAAUACGGAGGGUGCGAGCGUUAAUCGGAAUUACUGGGCGUAAAGGGCACGCAGGCGGUUAAUUAAAUUGGAUGUGAAAUCCCCGGGCUUAACCUGGGAAUGGCAUUCAAGACUGGUUAGCUAGAGUCUUGUAGAGGGGGUAGAAUUCCAUGUGUAGCGGUGAAAUGCGUAGAGAUGUGGAGGAAUACCGGUGGCGAAGGCGGCCCCUGGACAAAGACUGACGCUCAUGUGCGAAAGCGUGGGGAGCAAAC